AGCCCCGUCGUCUAGCGGUAAGGAUGCCGGCCUUUGGAGCCGGUGGCGGCGGUUCGAAUCCGCCCGGGGCUA
This is a transfer RNA of 72 nucleotides. It matches the Rfam family "tRNA". Rfam says of the family: Transfer RNA (tRNA) molecules are approximately 80 nucleotides in length.